UUGGGAAGUUUNGGNNNUUAAUGGGAAGNAAAAGCUUCNGGANCCNGGGUUUGGGNAAAUUUGGAACGGAACCCUUGGGGUUUUUUUUUUUUUAUGGCGCGCACACCGCUCACCAUCUUCAUCCCCGCGCCGUCGUCUUCACACCGCCGCCACGCACCGGCCACGCACGCCCUUAACCACACACACCGUCCACACAACAGCACACACUCCGCGCCAACCGACGGACGGGUCUUCGCAUACGCCGCCGCCGGGGUCCCCCCAGCAGCCCCUGUCCGCGGCGUGGUCGGCCGGUGCCCCCCCUCCCCCGCACAGCACCCCGUCACACGCACUUGCGAGACGCGGUUCCGCCAUGGCGCUCGACCUUGAGGCGGCCAGCUGGAGGUGCCAC
This 388-nucleotide unclassified non-coding RNA is filed under the name Trypanosomatidae sp. LLW-2010b. RNAcentral describes it as "partial trans-spliced leader; may also contain exon sequence". Lineage: Eukaryota; Euglenozoa; Kinetoplastea; Trypanosomatida; Trypanosomatidae. The record is from RNAcentral.